CCUACGGGAGGCAGCAGUGGGGAAUAUUGCACAAUGGGCGGAAGCCUGAUGCAGCGACGCCGCGUGAGGGAUGACGGCCUUCGGGUUGUAAACCUCUUUCGACAGGGACGAAGCUUUUGUGACGGUACCUGUAUAAGAAGCACCGGCUAACUACGUGCCAGCAGCCGCGGUAAUACGUAGGGUGCGAGCGUUGUCCGGAAUUACUGGGCGUAAAGAGCUCGUAGGUGGUUUGUCGCGUCGUCUGUGAAAUUCCGGGGCUUAACUCCGGGCGUGCAGGCGAUACGGGCAUAACUUGAGUGCUGUAGGGGAGACUGGAAUUCCUGGUGUAGCGGUGAAAUGCGCAGAUAUCAGGAGGAACACCGAUGGCGAAGGCAGGUCUCUGGGCAGUAACUGACGCUGAGGAGCGAAAGCAUGGGGAGCGAACAGGAUUAGAUACCCUGGUAGUCCAUGCCGUAAACGGUGGGCGCUAGGUGUAGGGGACUUCCACGUCUUCUGUGCCGUAGCUAACGCAUUAAGCGCCCCGCCUGGGGAGUACGGCCGCAAGGCUAAAACUCAAAGGAAUUGACGGGGGCCCGCACAAGCGGCGGAGCAUGUGGAUUAAUUCGAUGCAACGCGAAGAACCUUACCUGGGCUUGACAUAUACAGGAUCGCUGCAGAGAUGUAGUUUCCCUUGUGGUCUGUAUACAGGUGGUGCAUGGUUGUCGUCAGCUCGUGUCGUGAGAUGUUGGGUUAAGUCCCGCAACGAGCGCAACCCUUGUCUUAUGUUGCCAGCACAUUAUGGUGGGGACUCAUGAGAGACUGCCGGGGUUAACUCGGAGGAAGGUGGGGAUGACGUCAAAUCAUCAUGCCCCUUAUGUCCAGGGCUUCACACAUGCUACAAUGGUCGGUACAACGCGCUGCGAGCCUGUGAGGGUGAGCGAAUCGCUGAAAGCCGGCCUCAGUUCGGAUUGGGGUCUGCAACUCGACCCCAUGAAGUCGGAGUCGCUAGUAAUCGCAGAUCAGCAACGCUGCGGUGAAUACGUUCCCGGGCCUUGUACACACCGCCCGUCAAGUCACGAAAGUUGGUAACACCCGAAGCCAGUGGCCUAACCCUUGUGGAGGGAGCUGUCGAAGGUGGGAUCGGCGAUUGGGACUAAGUCGU
RNAcentral lists this ribosomal RNA (1141 nucleotides) under Corynebacterium argentoratense. Its description in RNAcentral is "bacterial SSU rRNA". It matches the Rfam family "Bacterial small subunit ribosomal RNA", at positions 338 to 1489 of the family's 1533-position model. The record is from RNAcentral. Lineage: Bacteria; Bacillati; Actinomycetota; Actinomycetes; Mycobacteriales; Corynebacteriaceae.